UAACGGCGAGUGAAGCGGCAACAGCUCAAAUUUGAAAUCUGGCGCAAGCCCGAGUUGUAAUUUGUAGAGGAUGCUUCUGGGCAGCGGCCGUUCUAAGUUCCUUGGAACAGGACGUCAUAGAGGGUGAGAAUCCCGUAUGUGACCGGCACGUACCCUCCACGUAGCUCCUUCGACGAGUCGAGUUGUUUGGGAAUGCAGCUCUAAAUGGGAGGUAAAUUCCUUCUAAAGCUAAAUACCGGCCAGAGACCGAUAGCGCACAAGUAGAGUGAUCGAAAGAUGAAAAGCACUUUGGAAAGAGAGUUAAAAAGCACGUGAAAUUGUUGAAAGGGAAGCGCUUACAACCAGACUUUGUGGCGGCGUUCCGCCGGUCUUCUGACCGGUCCAUUCGCCGCCGCGAGGCCAGCAUCGUCUGGGGCCGCCGGAUAAGACCUGAGGAAUGUAGCUUGCCUCGGUAAGUGUUAUAGCCUCGGGUGAUGCGGCGUGUCCCGGGCGAGGUCCGCGCUCCGGCAAGGAUGCUGGCGUAAUGGUUGUCAGCGGCCCGUCUUGAAACACGGACCAAGGAGUCUAACAUCUAUGCGAGUGUUCGGGUGUCAAACCCCUACGCGUAAUGAAAGUGAACGGAGGUGGGAAGCGCAAGCCGCACCAUCGACCGAUCCUGAUGUCUUCGGAUGGAUUUGAGUAAGAGCAUGGCUGUUGGGACCCGAAAGAUGGUGAACUAUGCCUGAAUAGGGUGAAGCCAGAGGAAACUCUGGUGGAGGCUCGCAGCGGUUCUGACGUGCAAAUCGAUCGUCAAAUUUGG
Molecule: ribosomal RNA, 799 nt
Filed under: Pseudocercosporella sp. DBP-2014
Lineage: Eukaryota; Fungi; Ascomycota; Dothideomycetes; Mycosphaerellales; Mycosphaerellaceae
Description: eukaryotic LSU rRNA
Rfam family: Eukaryotic large subunit ribosomal RNA
Source: RNAcentral